GCCUGGCUAGCUCAGUUAAUAGAGCAUGUGACUUGUAAUCACAGGGUCGUGAGCUCGAGCCCCAUGUUGGGCA
This is a non-coding RNA of Chiloscyllium plagiosum (whitespotted bambooshark), 73 nucleotides long. The record is from the annotation of a RefSeq genome assembly. NCBI's taxonomy places the organism in Eukaryota, Metazoa, Chordata, Chondrichthyes, Orectolobiformes, Hemiscylliidae.